This 249-nucleotide long non-coding RNA is filed under the name Neodiprion pinetum (white pine sawfly). RNAcentral's name for it is "uncharacterized LOC124221962". The record is from RNAcentral. Lineage: Eukaryota; Metazoa; Arthropoda; Insecta; Hymenoptera; Diprionidae.
ACUCGACUUCCAGGACAAGCGCUCCGUAGCUCAUUUGAUAGUAUUUUCUGAUGAUCUUUUUGUAUUCAAGGUAUAACUUGAGGUUGUUAGCGGUGGUCGUUGGAGGUGGUUAGGGGUGGUAGCGGGUGAUUAAGGUGAACAAGGAGGAGGACGAGGAGGACGAAGAUUUGUGCACGAAAUCGAGGUGUAACCCGCGGUGAUAAGCGGUGGUCGUUGGAGUCGGUUGGCGGUGGUUGGAGGUGGUCGGAG